AUUGAACGCUGGCGGCAGGCUUAACACAUGCAAGUCGAGCGGUAACAUUUCUAGCUUGCUAGAAGAUGACGAGCGGCGGACGGGUGAGUAAUGCUUGGGAAUAUGCCUUAUGGUGGGGGACAACAGUUGGAAACGACUGCUAAUACCGCAUAAUGUCUACGGACCAAAGGGGGGGAUCUUCGGACCUCUCGCCAUUUGAUUAGCCCAAGUGAGAUUAGCUAGUUGGUGAGGUAAUGGCUCACCAAGGCGACGAUCUCUAGCUGGUUUGAGAGGAUGAUCAGCCACACUGGGACUGAGACACGGCCCAGACUCCUACGGGAGGCAGCAGUGGGGAAUAUUGCACAAUGGGCGCAAGCCUGAUGCAGCCAUGCCGCGUGUGUGAAGAAGGCCUUCGGGUUGUAAAGCACUUUCAGUAAGGAGGAAAGGGAUGUAGUUAAUAACUGCAUUCUGUGACGUUACUUACAGAAGAAGCACCGGCUAACUUCGUGCCAGCAGCCGCGGUAAUACGAGGGGUGCAAGCGUUAAUCGGAAUUACUGGGCGUAAAGCGUUCGUAGGCGGUUGAUUAAGCAAGAUGUGAAAGCCCAGGGCUCAACCUUGGAACUGCAUUUUGAACUGGUCAACUAGAGUACUGUAGAGGGUGGUGGAAUUUCCAGUGUAGCGGUGAAAUGCGUAGAGAUUGGAAGGAACAUCAGUGGCGAAAGCGGCCACCUGGACAGAUACUGACGCUGAGGAACGAAAGCGUGGGGAGCGAACAGGAUUAGAUACCCUGGUAGUCCACGCCGUAAACGAUGUCAACUAGCCGUUUGUGUCCUAGAGACGUGAGUGGCGCAGCU
This 834-nucleotide ribosomal RNA is filed under the name uncultured bacterium. Its description in RNAcentral is "bacterial SSU rRNA". It matches the Rfam family "Bacterial small subunit ribosomal RNA", at positions 28 to 853 of the family's 1533-position model. The record is from RNAcentral.